This 497-nucleotide ribosomal RNA is filed under the name uncultured bacterium. RNAcentral's name for it is "partial 16S ribosomal RNA". It matches the Rfam family "Bacterial small subunit ribosomal RNA", at positions 28 to 507 of the family's 1533-position model. The record is from RNAcentral.
GAUGAACGCUGGCGGCGUGCCUAAUACAUGCAAGUCGAGCGAACCGACGAGGAGCUUGCUCCUUUGACGUUAGCGGCGGACGGGUGCGUCACACGUGGGUAACCUAACUAUACGACUGGGAUAACAUCGGGAAACCGGAGCUAAUACCGGAUAAUAUUUCGAACUGCAUGGUUCGAUAGUGAAAGAUGGUUUUUCUAUCACUUAUAGAUGGCCCUGGGCCGUAUUAGUUUGUUGGUGAGGUAACGGAUUACCAAGGCAACGACACGUAGCCGACCUGAGAGGGUGAUCGGCCAGACUGGAACAGAGGCACAGUCCAGACUCCGAGAGUGAGCAGCAGUAGAGAAUCUUCCGCAAUGGACGAAAGCCUGACAGUGCAACGCCGCGUGAGGGAUGAUGGACUUCGGAUCGGAGAGUUCUGUAAUUAUUGGAGUACAAACGUGUAAGUAACUGUGCACAUCAUGACGGUACCGGAUCAGAAAGCCACGGCUAACUACGUG